AUUGAACGCUGGCGGCAUGCCUUACACAUGCAAGUCGAACGGCAGCACGGGUGCUUGCACCUGGUGGCGAGUGGCGAACGGGUGAGUAAUACAUCGGAACAUGUCCUGUAGUGGGGGAUAGCCCGGCGAAAGCCGGAUUAAUACCGCAUACGAUCUACGGAUGAAAGCGGGGGACCUUCGGGCCUCGCGCUAUAGGGUUGGCCGAUGGCUGAUUAGCUAGUUGGUGGGGUAAAGGCCUACCAAGGCGACGACCAGUAGCUGGUCUGAGAGGACGACCAGCCACACUGGGACUGAGACACGGCCCAGACUCCUACGGGAGGCAGCAGUGGGGAAUUUUGGACAAUGGGCGAAAGCCUGAUCCAGCAAUGCCGCGUGUGUGAAGAAGGCCUUCGGGUUGUAAAGCACUUUUGUCCGGAAAGAAGUACUUGGCCCUAAUACGGGCGGGGGAUGACGGUACCGGAAGAAUAAGCACCGGCUAACUACGUG
This 486-nucleotide ribosomal RNA is filed under the name uncultured bacterium. RNAcentral describes it as "partial 16S ribosomal RNA". It matches the Rfam family "Bacterial small subunit ribosomal RNA", at positions 29 to 507 of the family's 1533-position model. The record is from RNAcentral.